This is a long non-coding RNA of Alexandromys fortis (reed vole), 654 nucleotides long. RefSeq lists it as uncharacterized. The transcript is spliced from 3 exons. NCBI's taxonomy places the organism in Eukaryota, Metazoa, Chordata, Mammalia, Rodentia, Cricetidae. The record is from RefSeq and is a predicted model, not a curated record.
CAAAGCCGCCAGCGAACGAGGAAGCAGAUUUGUUGCAGGUGGGAAAGAACAGAUGUACGAGAGUAGAGCAGAUGGAUCAGUGCGUAGUCCAGCUGUCAUCGGAGAGACAUUGUCCAGCGACUGAUAAAUACAAGGUGGAGCCAGGGGAACCUCGCAGAAGAGGGAGAAGAGUGAUUCUAGGACCCAGAGGGGUAAAGGACACCAUGAGAACACAACCCACAGGACCAUUUAAGCAGGGCUCAUAGGGCCUCCCAGGGACUGAGGUCGCUCCCUUUGGAUGCAUCAUACUGAAGAAUCCUACGGCCUGCCGAGACCUCUGAGGGGUCUGUUGCAGCAUCCGUCUCCCUUCCAGCAGUGCCGUCAUCGUCAUAUUGCAUGUGACAUCAGAGACAGACUCCCAUGCGUGCUUCUGUAGGCCACUAUUCCCAUAGUCCCCAUCUCCUUACAAUUAUAGAUCAAGUCAUUUUCUUUAUAAAUCUCCCUUGAACUCUGCUCACCAAUGGAAGCAUUAAUUCUCAUAGCAGAAAAAGUUUAUAUUUGAAACUACCUACGUCUCCUGUAUCAAUUGACUUUUGUCUUCUCUAAUAGAAAAGUUAUAAAGUGUUUUGUCUUUGCUAAUAAAGUUUUCAAUUUUUAUGAAUUAUGACAAUUUGA